AAAAACAAAAGCUUUCUCUCAAACUCUCUCCCUACCUUCCAUUAUCCGGCCAAUGCUCCGGCGCAGGUCCACCGUGGCGAUUGUCGAUCGCCAGUGACGGCACUGCCGUCUACGAUGGCCGAUAAUCAAAAUUUUGUCAUUUUAUUGGCUUUUUGACUCCCGACACCAUUUUCACACCAUCUAUCAUCGGAGAUGGUCUCCUCGGCCACCCACGGCUGUCCAAACACAAGAAAGGUGAGAUUGUUUUCUUUUUUGUUUCGUUUGCUUUUUUAACAAAAGAAAAACAAAAAGAUGAAAAAGAAAAAAAGAAAUACGAAAGUAAAAUGAAAUAAAAAAGACCACCUUUUGAAACUUUUUCUGCUUUUGAUUCUCUUUGUGUAUUUGUUCCUCCAAAAUACAACGAUGUUUGUAUGGCUUUUAUAUAGCCGAAAAUAAAAAGAAAAAAUAAUACAUUUUGUCUAUCAUUUGUGCUGUUGUCCUUCUUGUUUUUUCUUGCAAGUACGGAGGAGGCUACGUGGAGGUGGAUGGAGGUAAGGGUGCAGAGGGCCUUCGUGGAGGUGGAUGGGGGUAAGGGUGCAGAGGGCCUUCGUGGAGGGGCUGUGGAUGCAGCUUGGGGGUGUUAGGGUUUUCUUUUAGCUAAAAAUGUUUUAGGUUUUGUUGGCUAGGGUUUUGUUUGGGCCUGGGGUUAAUUUGGGUUAGUUUUGGUUUGGGUUGUUUUGGGAUUUGGGUUUUAAAUUUGUAUUGGACUUGGACAUUUUAUUUAUUUUGGGUUUUAUUCUAUAAAUUGGGCCAGGCUAAAAUGGCCUAUUACAAAGUUUUCUG
Molecule: long non-coding RNA, 822 nt
Filed under: Gossypium barbadense (sea-island cotton)
Lineage: Eukaryota; Viridiplantae; Streptophyta; Magnoliopsida; Malvales; Malvaceae
Description: long non-coding RNA (GBAR_LNC008511)
Source: RNAcentral